UACGGGAGUGGCAAGCGUUAUCCGGAAUUAUUGGGCGUAAAGCGUCCGCAGGCGGCCUUUUAAGUCUGUUGUCAAAGCGUGGAGCUUAACUCCAUUUCGGCAAUGGAAACUGGGAGGCUUGAGUGUGGUAGGGGCAGAGGGAAUUCCCGGUGUAGCGGUGAAAUGCGUAGAUAUCGGGAAGAACACCAGUGGCGAAGGCGCUCUGCUGGGCCAUAACUGACGCUCAUGGACGAAAGCCAGGGG
This 243-nucleotide ribosomal RNA is filed under the name uncultured cyanobacterium. Its description in RNAcentral is "partial 16S ribosomal RNA". It matches the Rfam family "Bacterial small subunit ribosomal RNA", at positions 524 to 766 of the family's 1533-position model. Lineage: Bacteria; Bacillati; Cyanobacteriota. The record is from RNAcentral.